Molecule: ribosomal RNA, 429 nt
Filed under: Pseudomonadota bacterium
Lineage: Bacteria; Pseudomonadati; Pseudomonadota
Description: Proteobacteria bacterium partial 16S ribosomal RNA
Rfam family: Bacterial small subunit ribosomal RNA
Source: RNAcentral
UGGGGAAUAUUGGACAAUGGGCGAAAGCCUGAUCCAGCCAUGCCGCGUGUGUGAAGAAGGUCUUCGGAUUGUAAAGCACUUUAAGUUGGGAGGAAGGGCAGUAAGCGAAUACCUUGCUGUUUUGACGUUACCGACAGAAUAAGCACCGGCUAACUCUGUGCCAGCAGCCGCGGUAAUACAGAGGGUGCAAGCGUUAAUCGGAAUUACUGGGCGUAAAGCGCGCGUAGGUGGUUCGUUAAGUUGAAUGUGAAAGCCCCGGGCUCAACCUAGGAACUGCAUCAAAAACUGGCGAGCUAGAGUAGGGCAGAGGGUGGUGGAAUUUCAUGUGUAGCGGUGAAAUGCGUAGAUAUAGGAAGGAACACCAGUGGCGAAGGCGACCACCUGGGCUCAUACUGACACUGAGGUGCGAAAGCGUGGGGAGCAAACAGG